This 429-nucleotide ribosomal RNA is filed under the name uncultured Cenococcum. RNAcentral describes it as "eukaryotic LSU rRNA". It matches the Rfam family "Eukaryotic large subunit ribosomal RNA", at positions 1 to 427 of the family's 3401-position model. The record is from RNAcentral. Lineage: Eukaryota; Fungi; Ascomycota; Dothideomycetes; Gloniales; Gloniaceae.
UUGACCUCGGAUCAGGCAGGGAUACCCGCUGAACUUAAGCAUAUCAAUAAGCGGAGGAAAAGAAACCAACAGGGAUUGCCUCACUAACGGCGAGUGAAGCGGCAACAGCUCAAAUUUGAAAUCUGGCUCUUUUAGGGUCCGAGUUGUAAUUUGUAGAGGAUGCUUCGGCGUCGGCUCCGGUCUAAGUUCCUUGGAACAGGACGUCAUAGAGGGUGAGAAUCCCGUAUGUGAUCGGUUGCCCUUGCCAUGUGAAACUCCUUCGACGAGUCGAGUUGUUUGGGAAUGCAUCUCUUAAUGGGAGGUAAAUUUCUUCUAAAGCUAAUACUGGCCACACACCGAUGGCGCACAGCUAGAGUGAUCGAAAGAUGAAAAGCACUUUGGAAAGAGAGUCAAAAAGUACGUGAAAUUGUUGAAAGGGAAGCGCUUGCG